CAUAAGAUUGUAGCUUCGCAUGAAGUAGCAAUUAAAGGAGCAAUCCGCUAUGAGAUGGGCCCGCGGCGCAUUAGCUAGUUGGUGAGGUAACGGCUCACCAAGGCGACGAUGCGUAGCCGACCUGAGAGGGUGAUCGGCCACAUUGGGACUGAGACACGGCCCAGACUCCUACGGGAGGCAGCAGUGGGGAAUAUUGCACAAUGGGGGAAACCCUGAUGCAGCAACGCCGCGUGAGUGAUGACGGCCUUCGGGUUGUAAAGCUCUGUCUUCAGGGACGAUAAUGACGGUACCUGAGGAGGAAGCCACGGCUAACUACGUGCCAGCAGCCGCGGUAAUACGUAGGUGGCGAGCGUUGUCCGGAUUUACUGGGCGUAAAGGGAGCGUAGGCGGACUUUUAAGUGAGAUGUGAA
RNAcentral lists this ribosomal RNA (410 nucleotides) under uncultured bacterium. RNAcentral's name for it is "bacterial SSU rRNA". It matches the Rfam family "Bacterial small subunit ribosomal RNA", at positions 172 to 598 of the family's 1533-position model. The record is from RNAcentral.